Molecule: ribosomal RNA, 503 nt
Filed under: Jinghongia jinghongensis
Lineage: Eukaryota; Metazoa; Mollusca; Gastropoda; Littorinimorpha; Pomatiopsidae
Description: partial 16S ribosomal RNA
Rfam family: Bacterial large subunit ribosomal RNA
Source: RNAcentral
GGCUCUUUGAAAUAAAUAUAUAAAGAGUCGAGCCUGCCCAGUGAUAAUUUAAACGGCCGCGGUACUCUGACCGUGCAAAGGUAGCAUAAUCAUUUGCCCUAUAAUUGAGGGCUUGUAUGAACGGUUUGACAAAAGCAUAACUGUCUCCUUAAAAUUUUAUAAAAUUUGGUUUUUAGGUGAAGAAACCUAAAUAUAAUUGAAAGACAAGAAGACCCUAUCGAGCUUUAGAGCAAUUAAUUAAAAAAUAUAACUAAAACAAUUAAUUUUAAUUAAAAACUUUGGUUGGGGCGACUAAGGAACAUAAAAAGCUUCCUUAAUUUAAAUAUGCUUAUAAGCUAUGAUCCAAAAAUUUUGAUUAAAAAAAUUAGUUACCGUAGGGAUAACAGCAUAAUCUUUUUCAAGAGUUCUUAUCGAAAAAAAGGUUUGUGACCUCGAUGUUGGACUAGGAUAUCCUAAAGAUGCAGAAGUCUUUAAAAGUUGGUCUGUUCGACCAUUAAAAUCCU